Oreochromis aureus is the source of this 678-nucleotide long non-coding RNA. RefSeq lists it as uncharacterized. The transcript is spliced from 2 exons. NCBI's taxonomy places the organism in Eukaryota, Metazoa, Chordata, Actinopteri, Cichliformes, Cichlidae. The record is from RefSeq and is a predicted model, not a curated record.
UUAAGUGACUGACAGGUUUCUUUGAAAAAUACUUUCUUAUUGUAAGGACGAGAAAGACAUUGUGGACAAAACAGGACACCCCCCAAUAAUCUUUAGUUACAAUAUUAUAGUUAGUUAAAUGGUCUGAUUGUUCAAAUAUGUAUUUUCUUUGACUGUUGUUAAAUAAUGUGUGCCCCAGUCUCCAAAAAUGACAUAGUGCAGGAAGGGUAGUUAUUCCUCCGUUACACCACAAGAGGGCGUAUCCCCUAAAAUGAGCAGCUCUAGCGGGAGUAAAUAAGCCCACCCACUAACCAUAAGGCUGUGCGCCUAUAAGAGUUGUGUGAGACUGCAAAAGUGUGUAACAUUGUGCUAUGUCCAUAUAUAUAUAUUUGCAGGUAACCUACGCAUAUGACUACGUGCAUGACAUUGAUAAGGGGAACAAGCAGCCUUGAGAAGAACAGAUUCUACCGGCAACAAUCUGGGAGAGCUGCACUCCCAUCAUAUAACCACACACAAUGUAUAAUCACGCUUGCACAGUACAAUCACACUUUGUAACCAGUUAUAGUAAUUUUUCAUAGGUAAUACAGCAACAAGCUUUAUGAAUAUUCAUGUGUGUAACCAAUAAAAACAACCUGCAGGGGGAAAGCAAGUUGAAGUGGGUUGGAGACAACUGCUUCCCUCUCGCGAGUGAAAACUUGA